UUUUUUGUAUAAUUGUUAAAUUUUAUUACUAAGUUUUUUUUACAGAAGAACAUAGAUGACAAAGAAACAAAAAAUGCACAAAUGAACUAAACACAUACUAAUACUAACCUAAGACCUGAUCUAAACUAAGCAUUGCUUACUACAAGCAGCGCAACAACCUAGAGGAUACAACAAAGUUGGAACAACCACUUGCCACAAAAGAGACAGUGCAUUAAGCACGAGAGCUGAAUCCAGUAGAAUUCGACAAUAUCCGAUGACCAGCUCUAAAGAUCAGCUCCUCAACAACAGCUAGCUUGUGAGAGACCUCCUAAUCAGCAGCCACCAUGGAGAGAACACCCGAGCAAGCACCAAUUCAAGCCGAAAUCCCUCACAGAACACAAAAAAUAAACACGGGUUGAGAAGAGGCUGCUUCGCCUGGUGGUCAGUUUUGACAAACUUUUGAAUGGGGUCCCACUUAAAAAAUCUUAUAUAUGCAUUUGUGUUUUUGGUAUAAUAACAUAUAAAUAUUAAUGGUAAACCAAAACUGAAUAAAAAAUUUAGUUGCUAAAAAUGUUUAAAAUAUAUUAAAUAUGUUUGACAUUAUAUAAUUCAGAUAUAAAUGAAUAAUAUACUAUAAUUAUGUUUUUCUAAAUAAAAAUUUAUUUACAAACUUUAUAAAAAUAUUAAAUAAUUAAUAAAUAGUUUUUUAAUGGGACUCCGAAAAUCACAAGACAGCUAUGUUGGUGGUGAUGAGCACCUGCAACCAAGAAGAAUGGAGACCCUCCUAUCGAAGACUGCCGAG
This 781-nucleotide long non-coding RNA is filed under the name Brassica rapa (field mustard). Its description in RNAcentral is "long non-coding RNA (BRAP_LNC005070)". The record is from RNAcentral. Lineage: Eukaryota; Viridiplantae; Streptophyta; Magnoliopsida; Brassicales; Brassicaceae.